RNAcentral lists this long non-coding RNA (336 nucleotides) under Rattus norvegicus (Norway rat). Its description in RNAcentral is "long non-coding RNA NONRATT006714". The record is from RNAcentral. Lineage: Eukaryota; Metazoa; Chordata; Mammalia; Rodentia; Muridae.
GCGGCCCGGGAGGCGGAGGCGCGGGGGAGGAGGCCCCGCUCGGCUCCGCAGUCCCGGAUGCUGUAUGACUUCAUCCUUCCGCCGGCUCCCCUGCUGAGCUAGGGCCGGUCCGGCAGCUAGCCUCUGCCCGUGCCCCGCCGCAGUCCCUAGCCCGCCCGGUGCCCGCCAUGUCCGAGAUCCUACCCUACGGCGAGGACAAGAUGGGCCGCUUCGGCGCAGACCCCGAGGGUUCCGACCUCUCUUUCAGCUGCCGCCUGCAGGACACCAACUCCUUCUUCGCUGGCAACCAGGCCAAGCGGCCCCCCAAGCUGGGCCAGAUCGGCCGAGCCAAGAGAG